Molecule: long non-coding RNA, 2653 nt
Filed under: Homo sapiens (human)
Lineage: Eukaryota; Metazoa; Chordata; Mammalia; Primates; Hominidae
Description: non-protein coding lnc-SLX4IP-39:5
Source: RNAcentral
AACUAUGUGCUUCUGCCUUUGCUAGGAGAACAUGCCAGGGCUGGCCUGUUGGAGGGCUGGGAGAGUGAGGUGGGGAGCAGCAUUUAGGUUGUCUCUCACCCAAGACAGAAAAUAAUCAGAUUGACAGAUUUCACUUUUCUCCAAGACUCAUUACUCAUCUGUUGUGUGUAGAUUUCGGCAGGGGUUCAAGAAAGCAUAUUGAUGCAUGUAUGUUGCGGUCUUAAUGCAAAUCUGAUCUAGCCUUAGAACUCUGAGCAUACCAAGAACCUAAGGGUAAAUUUAUUUUUCAUACGCAUUACCCCUUUGAAACUUGAAGAAAGACAAGGAGGAACAUAGAAUGAAAAGCAGAUUAAAAUGAAGGGUACGUGCUGAAGGCUGGUUGGUCCACACGAUCAGACCCAGCUGGAUGUCUUAUACCUCCUCUUCUUUGUCAGUAGACUCCUGAAUUAUUAAGUUCAAUAAGAAAGGAAAGGGAUGGAAAGGAUUCGGAGUGUCUUAUUUCAGGUGUAAACCUUUAUGAUGUCUUCGUAUAUUCCUGUACCGCGUGCAAGCAUUGGAGGUUUGUGGCUGGAAAUCCUUCAAAGGUGACAAUGUACAGAAGAGUUGAUAUGAAUCAAGACUGGAUGAAUGAAGCCAUUGGAUGAAUUCACGCUUCUCAACAUCUAAGCCUUCGGCACACCCUUUGGUGGAAUUCAAAGUUUCUGCGGAGCAGAGAGCAGUAAUUAACAGUGAGACCUUAUGAUGAGCAAAUCACAGAGUCUGGGGUUGGACAUGUGACUUCCUUUGGCCACCAGAAUGUUGCCAAGAAAAGCACAACUCUGAAGUAAGUCACCUAAGGCCACGCAGCUAGGAGAUAAAUGAAUCAACAUUGAAACCCAAUUUUGUUGCUUAGUAUCCCACAUUCUCAAACUAUAUUAUCUGUCCUUAUUGUGAAUAAAAAGUGUUCUUAUUAACACUACAUUCUUGGCUCAGUGCUAAGCUCUGUGGCCCAUUGUCCAGCACUUGACCAGGUCCCCGGCAGGCACUGAGCCAUUUGAUGCAGAGGAAUGCUGAGCAGCGUGAGGCCAGGCAGGCCCAACUGGCCAGGUGACGCCUGGCCAGAUGGUUCCUCCCCCCGGCGCCCCCAGAGGCCACUAUUGAAAACCUGAAAGAGACAAAAAGCCUGUGGAAUCCUCCAAGGGGACCAGAUGCUGCUUAGGGAAAACCUCUCCACACUGUGGCAUCAGGGAACGGGUGGUGCAAGAGAAGCUUCAAGAAUGAUGAACAGAACAAGAAACUGCCUCACUUGACAAUAAAAUAAAUGCCCACCACCUCCUGUUUCCUCGUUAAUGAUUAUUAAAAUGAUCCUGGUACAAGAUUAAUAUUAAAAACUGAUGCUUAGUAAUAAACUUCUCACAGCUAUCUUCAAGAUUUCCAGGGAGUAAUAGCUGAAAGGGAAAACUGAACAAGAGGAGUCUUCCUGUGUGUUGUAGUGCCUGGGUGUGUAUUUCUUUCCACUGCUAGUACUUUUGUUGGCAAAUAGUGCACGCUGUUGGAGCCUAUCCCCCAGACCUUAAGUAGGGGCAGUGGGUCGUGUGGGAUGGAGCCCUAUCAAAUGGGGCUGGACUCUGGUUUUGUCUGCUGUGACCCCGGGGGUGCCCGCUGGGAUCUGUGAGCAGGCAGAGGCCGGUGGGAGCACCCUCCGCCUCCCUUUGUUCCGCCGGGCUCCAGCCUGCAGCAGCUGAUCCGGUUAUUAUGCUCCUGAAAAGAAUUUCUAGGUGGCCACAGUGACCAUAAGGAGCAGAGAAACCACGAGGGCUGCAAGCCACGAAGAGCAACACAUCGGCUAUUGAGCACUAAUCCCACCCAUAAUUAGAGGAUCCCUUCAGCCUUGUGGUGCUCACAGAAAUCUGAACUAAGGCAGAGAGGAGCCGUCUGAGGUCUGUAGGCCACCGUUUACCAAAUGUGCUGUCAUCAGCGCAAUUAGCUUAUUUGGUGGGAUCGGCGUUUUAAAAAGAAAAACAGAAAGCUGUAUAGAACAUAGACUUGGGGCAAAAACUGAAUUUAAGAUGUAGUUAAAGUCACCUUUGAUUUCUCAGCUUCCUUCCCCCACCCCAUUCUUAAAAUCAUGCAUUUUAAUGAAAAUUUGAUCUGCGUGGGUCUGAUUUGUUUACUUGGGACUCAUCCAAAUGCUGUUUUGUAAGAGCGAUUUCAUAUCUAACAGAUUUGCAUAACUUGGGCUAUACUUCUCAGAAAGAAAAACUCAUGUUGGGCCCUAAAUGAACAGAUUUAUCGCUCUGAGACUUGUCCAGGCUUUACGGUGGCAGUUGCUCUCUGCCUACUCUGCUCUCCCUUGUCUUCAUCCCAGGCAUCCCAAGGUUUCUGCUAUACUAAAGAAAAGCUGCGCCCAUCAUCUGAAUCUAACCUUCGUGGGUGCUCAGGAACCUGUCACCUGUUCUAAAAUUCCACCUGCUAUUUUAAUUCACCACAUGCCGCCCGUUGGCUAAGUGGAAGAAAAUGAACAUCUGAUCACAAAGUCACUAAUUAUGUUUAAUUACUGGCUAAAAUAUUAACUUUCAAAAAGGAAGAUAACUUUUGAAAGUGAUAUGAAUUCACCACUGUUGUAAUCUAUUUAAAUUCAUGUGUUACAAAUAAAUUACAAGAGAGAGGAAGA